This is a long non-coding RNA of Chinchilla lanigera (long-tailed chinchilla), 409 nucleotides long. RefSeq lists it as uncharacterized. The transcript is spliced from 3 exons. The record is from RefSeq and is a predicted model, not a curated record. Lineage: Eukaryota; Metazoa; Chordata; Mammalia; Rodentia; Chinchillidae.
UUUGUUUUUUCUGUCCCUCACAAUUUGGAGCAGGUUUGAUGACAUUUCAAAGGUGUGCUUCCGUCCCUCCUCUCUCAUGCUGAUGCCUUGGACCUGGGACCUCUCCAGGGAUGGCGUGUGUGAGGGAGAGGCUGGGUGCUUUGGUCUGAUCAUGAAUGCCUUCCAAACUCCCAUUGCUCAGAGGUGGGCUUUUGGAAAGUGACUGGAUCACAGGGGCAAGCGCUCCUCGGGGGACUCAUCCAGUAAUGAGUUAUGCAGCUCCUCCCUUUGCUCUCUUUCCUGGCUGCCAUGAUGUGAGCGGCUCUCCUCUGCCCAGGCCCUUCCACCAUGCCGCUUCUGCGUUACAGCUGGUGAGCCAUGGACUGCAACUUCUGAAACCGUGAACCAAAGUAAAACUGUCCUUCCCUAA